RNAcentral lists this ribosomal RNA (255 nucleotides) under uncultured bacterium. Its description in RNAcentral is "partial 16S ribosomal RNA". It matches the Rfam family "Bacterial small subunit ribosomal RNA", at positions 100 to 353 of the family's 1533-position model. The record is from RNAcentral.
CACGGGUGAGUAACACGUAUCCAACCUGCCGUCUACUCUUGGACAGCCUUCUGAAAGGAAGAUUAAUACAAGAUGGCAUCAUGAGUCCGCAUGUUCACAUGAUUAAAGGUAUUCCGGUAGACGAUGGGGAUGCGUUCCAUUAGAUAGUAGGCGGGGUAACGGCCCACCUAGUCUUCGAUGGAUAGGGGUUCUGAGAGGAAGGUCCCCCCACAUUGGAACUGAGACACGGUCCAAACUCCUACGGGAGGCAGCAUG